This is a transfer RNA of 88 nucleotides. It matches the Rfam family "tRNA". From Rfam's summary of the family: Transfer RNA (tRNA) molecules are approximately 80 nucleotides in length. Their secondary structure includes four short double-helical elements and three loops (D, anti-codon, and T loops). The record is from Rfam.
GGAGGGGUACUCUAGCGGUCGAUGAGGUUCGGUUGCUAACCGGAUAGACGGGUAAAACCGUGCGAGAGUUCGAAUCUCUCUCCCUCCG